Molecule: ribosomal RNA, 670 nt
Filed under: uncultured organism
Description: bacterial SSU rRNA
Rfam family: Bacterial small subunit ribosomal RNA
Source: RNAcentral
GGCUUAGAGUUUGAUCAUGGCUCAGGAUGAACGCUAGCUACAGGCUUAACACAUGCAAGUCGAGGGGCAGCAUGAACUUAGCUUGCUAAGUUUGAUGGCGACCGGCGCACGGGUGAGUAACACGUAUCCAACCUGCCGAUGACUCGGGGAUAGCCUUUCGAAAGAAAGAUUAAUACCCGAUGGCAUAGUUCUUCCGCAUGGUGGAACUAUUAAAGAAUUUCGGUCAUCGAUGGGGAUGCGUUCCAUUAGGUUGUUGGCGGGGUAACGGCCCACCAAGCCUUCGAUGGAUAGGGGUUCUGAGAGGAAGGUCCCCCACAUUGGAACUGAGACACGGUCCAAACUCCUACGGGAGGCAGCAGUGAGGAAUAUUGGUCAAUGGACGAGAGUCUGAACCAGCCAAGUAGCGUGAAGGAUGACUGCCCUAUGGGUUGUAAACUUCUUUUAUACGGGAAUAAAGUGAGGCACGUGUGCCUUUUUGUAUGUACCGUAUGAAUAAGGAUCGGCUAACUCCGUGCCAGCGGCCGCGGUAAUACGGAGGAUCCGAGCGUUAUCCGGAUUUAUUGGGUUUAAAGGGAGCGUAGGCGGACGCUUAAGUCAGUUGUGAAAGUUUGCGGCUCAACCGUAAAAUUGCAGUUGAUACUGGGUGUCUUGAGUACAGUAGAGGCAGGCG